GAUGAACGCUGGCGGCGUGCCUAAUACAUGCAAGUCGAGCGAACAGACGAGGAGCUUGCUCCUCUGACGUUAGCGGCGGACGGGUGAGUAACACGUGGAUAACCUACCUAUAAGACUGGGAUAACUUCGGGAAACCGUAGCUAAUACCGGAUAAUAUAUUGAACCGCAUGGUUCAAUAGUGAAAGACGGUUUUGCUGUCACUUAUAGAUGGAUCCGCGCCGCAUUAGCUAGUUGGUAAGGUAACGGCUUACCAAGGCGACGAUGCGUAGCCGACCUGAGAGGGUGAUCGGCCACACUGGAACUGAGACACGGUCCAGACUCCUACGGGAGGCAGCAGUAGGGAAUCUUCCGCAAUGGGCGAAAGCCUGACGGAGCAACGCCGCGUGAGUGAUGAAGGUCUUCGGAUCGUAAAACUCUGUUAUUAGGGAAGAACAAAUGUGUAAGUAACUAUGCACGUCUUGACGGUACCUAAUCAGAAAGCCACGGCUAACUACGUG
RNAcentral lists this ribosomal RNA (497 nucleotides) under uncultured bacterium. RNAcentral describes it as "partial 16S ribosomal RNA". It matches the Rfam family "Bacterial small subunit ribosomal RNA", at positions 28 to 507 of the family's 1533-position model. The record is from RNAcentral.